This 545-nucleotide ribosomal RNA is filed under the name uncultured Mycobacterium sp. RNAcentral describes it as "bacterial SSU rRNA". It matches the Rfam family "Bacterial small subunit ribosomal RNA", at positions 528 to 1072 of the family's 1533-position model. Lineage: Bacteria; Bacillati; Actinomycetota; Actinomycetes; Mycobacteriales; Mycobacteriaceae. The record is from RNAcentral.
UAGGGUGCGAGCGUUGUCCGGAAUUACUGGGCGUAAAGAGCUCGUAGGUGGUUUGUCGCGUUGUUCGUGAAAACUCACAGCUUAACUGUGGGCGUGCGGGCGAUACGGGCAGACUAGAGUACUGCAGGGGAGACUGGAAUUCCUGGUGUAGCGGUGGAAUGCGCAGAUAUCAGGAGGAACACCGGUGGCGGAGGCGGGUCUCUGGGCAGUAACUGACGCUGAGGAGCGAAAGCGUGGGGAGCGAACAGGAUUAGAUACCCUGGUAGUCCACGCCGUAAACGGUGGGUACUAGGUGUGGGUUCCUUCCCUGGGAUCCGUGCCGUAGCUAACGCAUUAAGUACCCCGCCUGGGGAGUACGGCCGCAAGGCUAAAACUCAAAGGAAUUGACGGGGGCCCGCACAAGCGGCGGAGCAUGUGGAUUAAUUCGAUGCAACGCGAAGAACCUUACCUGGGUUUGACAUGCACAGGACGCCGGCAGAGAUGUCGGUUCCCCUUGUGGCCUGUGUGCAGGUGGUGCAUGGCGGUCGUCAGCUCGUGUCGUGAGA